AAAAUCUACAUUUCAUCUACUUAAAAAUUAAAAAAUGUGUCGAUGUGCUUUUCCGAUUGUUACAACUUGCUGUUAACUCUCAUCUCUUACCGGCAAUUGGAAUAGGUGAGGCGAAGAUCCACACUCUUUAAUUUGCCGACGAUAUCCUGAUCUUUUUCGACGGUUCAAGCAGAUCGGCAGCAAUAAUUAAGGUGAUUCUUGAUGCCUUCUCCUCAAGCUCGGGCCUCAAAAUCAAUUUCAACAAAAGCUCCCUCAUACUGAUCAACCUGUCGAGCGAACAGACCCGGCUUUUGACUAAUGUAUUUGCCUGCCCAACUCAAGAUUUCCCUAUAAAAUAUUUGGGUCUUCCGCUCUCUCCUAAACGGCUUCGAAAAUCUGAUUACUUAGCCUUAAUCGAGAAAAUUGAUAAUCGGCUUGCCGGUUGGAAAGAAAAUUUGCUAUCAAGGGGGGGUCGACUCAUUCUUAUCAAUUCGGUACUCUCUACUAUCCCUACCUAUUUUUGUUCAGCUUACCUGCUCCCCGCUUGGGUCCUUAAUUCCAUAGACAAAAUCCACCGCGGUUUUUUUUGGCAUGGGAAAACUAUUGCUAAUGGCUUUCACUGCUUAGUGAAUUGGGGCCAGGUGUGCCGCCCGAAAAGUAUGGGAGGGAUCGGGAUUAGAAAUCUGCGCUCCAUGAACUCCGCCCUUCUGAUGAAAGCAUUUUGGAAAUUCUACAUGUCCCAAUCUACACCCUGGGUCAGGCUGCUGAUGCAGAAGCAUUACAAACAUAGAUUACCUUCGAAUACGAACUCUAAACCGGGUAACAGCUGCCCAAUCUGGCGGGAUAUUCUCAAUCUGGCAGCGCCUUUUCACACUUCAGCCUCCUUCACCCUGGGCAAUGGCAAAGUGGUAUCUUUCUGGAAUUCCAGAUGGUACGGUGACUUCCUUCUAAAAAAUUGUCUUACUCACCUUUAUGCCGCUUCGAGCUCUAAACAGAUUUCAGUAUCAAACUGGAUGAGGCGCUUCGCAACACUCACCAAUCUUGGCUUUAGGUCACCUCUUUGUCCCAGGAUGCAAGAGGAACUAUCAAAGCUUUCGGAUUUGCGACAAACCUGGACGCUAUCGGAUCACAUGGACACGCCCACAUGGAGGUGGACUAACUCUGGACUAUUUUCGGUUCGGAGUGCCUACAACUUCCUAACGUACGACGGAAUUAAAGAUUCUAAUUUAUCGUUCAUUUGGAAUACCAAGAUCCCGGUCAGAAUCAAGAUCUUCCUUUGGUUAGCAGCGAGAAACAGAGUUCUCACUGCCGAGGUUCUACAGAGAAAGGGUUGGAACGGGCCUUCGAUAUGUGUGCUUUGCAACUUAAACAGCGAAUCUUUGAAUCAUAUUUUAUUCCAAUGUUCGUAUGCAAGACACUUGUGGAGUGGGCUGCCACACAGUAGUAUUACAGCAACGCACCUCACGAGCUCUCUAUCCGGAAACUUAACUCAAAGGUGGAAAUUAAUAAGACGCGCGGCAGCGGGAUCAGCCAAAACUGAAAUUGAUUUCUAUUUCGCAGCAGGAUGUUGGGAAGUGUGGAAUGAGAGGAAUAGAAGGAUUUUCGACAAUCGUUGUUGCCAAAGUGACAACCUCAGGAGAUAUGUCGUGAACUCGGUGGAACUUUGGAAAUCGCCGCUCCUGAGUUGACCAGGGCUCCUCUCUUGUUUUUUGUGCACUUCUUGUUUUGCUCUCUUCUUCUUUUAACCAUCGUUCAUCCGCAUUUGUUUUCUUUUACACCCCUCCUGGCUUACUAGACCUUCUCUGAGGUCUUUCCUGUAAAUAGGGUAUAUCCCUGUUUAAUCAAAAAAAUAAAAAUAAAAAAUGUUCAUAUCGGCCCCCGCCGUUAUUGUUCUGUCAGGAUUUCGUGUAAUAUAAAUUUAUUAUAUUCAAAAUACCCUUAUAGAUUCCUCUUUGUUGCCGCCUUACUCGUCUGCUGAGAGAGGGAGUUGUAGGAAAGGGAGGCGGUGAAGGAGGAGUUGGUGUAGGACUGAGUGUAGGAGGAUGCAUUGUAAGGUAGUUGGGAGGACGUAUUGAAGGGGGCAAAAAAGGGAGUAGCAGGGGAGCGGGGAGAUGGAGGAGGAGAUGAAGG
Molecule: long non-coding RNA, 2109 nt
Filed under: Ananas comosus (pineapple)
Lineage: Eukaryota; Viridiplantae; Streptophyta; Magnoliopsida; Poales; Bromeliaceae
Description: long non-coding RNA (ACOM_LNC014108)
Source: RNAcentral